This 74-nucleotide transfer RNA is filed under the name Rubripirellula amarantea. RNAcentral's name for it is "Planctomycetes bacterium Pla22 tRNA-Lys". It matches the Rfam family "tRNA". From Rfam's summary of the family: Transfer RNA (tRNA) molecules are approximately 80 nucleotides in length. Their secondary structure includes four short double-helical elements and three loops (D, anti-codon, and T loops). Further hydrogen bonds mediate the characteristic L-shaped molecular structure. tRNAs have two regions of fundamental functional importance: the anti-codon, which is responsible for specific mRNA codon recognition, and the 3' end, to which the tRNAs corresponding amino acid is attached (by aminoacyl-tRNA synthetases). tRNAs cope with the degeneracy of the genetic code in two manners: having more than one tRNA (with a specific anti-codon) for a particular amino acid; and 'wobble' base-pairing, i.e. permitting non-standard base-pairing at the 3rd anti-codon position. The record is from RNAcentral. Lineage: Bacteria; Pseudomonadati; Planctomycetota; Planctomycetia; Pirellulales; Pirellulaceae.
GCCCUUGUAGCUCAGUUGGUAGAGCAACGGACUCUUAAUCCGUUUGUCCUAGGUUCGAGCCCUAGCGGGGGUAC